This 73-nucleotide transfer RNA is filed under the name Chloroflexota bacterium. RNAcentral describes it as "Chloroflexi bacterium tRNA-Arg". It matches the Rfam family "tRNA". From Rfam's summary of the family: Transfer RNA (tRNA) molecules are approximately 80 nucleotides in length. The record is from RNAcentral. RNAcentral also lists the same sequence under 1 other name. Lineage: Bacteria; Bacillati; Chloroflexota.
GCCCCUGUAGCUCAGUUGGAUAGAGCACCGGCCUCCGAAGCCGGGAGCAUGCGUUCGAGUCGCAUCAGGGGUA